CAUUUAUUAAGUCUCCGUUUGGUUAAUUUAUAGAUGAUUUAUAAACGGUCAAAUUUUAUUUUCAAAUUGCAAAGAAAAGAAAUAAGAGCAAACACGAGAUGUCUAUUGUCUUGCUGAGAAAUGUUUUUAACUAUUCUGUUUACAAGUUGAGGACUACCGGACAUUACCGUUCUACCUGGCUAGUGACAAAUCCAAUCAAUCUUCCUACGAAGUCGAGCUUUAAGGAGUCGGCAGCACUCAUCAACAAACAUUUAAAAUCCGGGGAGCCGGGGAGCCCUCAACUAAAGAUGAACUAUAGCCGAUAGUUGACUUACCUUGAAAGAAUUUUAUUCGCUUUACAUGAGAAGAAAGAAAUUCUUGCAUAGUUAAGUUCAGAAACAUAUGUACCUGCAGUAGACAGUAGUCAUGGUUUUGUAUACUUGUUUAUAGCAGCAAUGAGCCACUGUUCAUAUUCAUAACCAUAGCUAACUCUGGAAGUUUGGUAAACAGCAUUGAGCACUAAGAGAAUGAACAAGAUUAUUAGUUUAUUCUUAUUCUUAA
Molecule: long non-coding RNA, 540 nt
Organism: Olea europaea var. sylvestris
Lineage: Eukaryota; Viridiplantae; Streptophyta; Magnoliopsida; Lamiales; Oleaceae
Exons: 2
Source: RefSeq, a predicted model, not a curated record